Molecule: long non-coding RNA, 1058 nt
Filed under: Sus scrofa (pig)
Lineage: Eukaryota; Metazoa; Chordata; Mammalia; Artiodactyla; Suidae
Description: lncRNA (ENSSSCG00055019486.1)
Source: RNAcentral
GUUUCUCUUUUUCAGGCGUAUUUUCUCAUCUUGUCUGAAGCUUUUGAGGGCAGACUACCAAGGCCCGGAGGAAUAGUAGAUGGUCUGUCUAGAAUUCCAAAGGCAAAUGACUCAAGGUAACAGGAAAAAAGAAAAUCCAGUAUCAGGAUAAUCAGAACACCACAGGUUUACAGUUUGUAGAAACUAGAACACGAGCAGCUCUCACUUAAGGUCUGUGAUGGAACUCCAGUGGAGAAAUGGCUGGUACUUUUUCCACCCCUUAAUCAGAUUUUUUUUUAAUUAAAGUAUGUAACCGGUUAUUUUUACUUGAAGUAUUUUGGGGUGGUCUUAACAGGGAAGAGGGUGGGGGAGAAAAUGUUUUUUUCUAAGAUUUUCCACAGAUGCUAUAGUACUAUUGACAAACUGAGUUAGAGAAGGAUUGUACUGCUAUGCUGUUGGCACCAAACACCUUCAGGGAUUGGAGCUGCUUUUUUCCUUGGAGUAUUCCCAGUGAAGCUGAAAUAUACAGCACAGUGCAGCUUUGGUUCAUAUUCAGUCAUCUCAGGAGAACUUCAGAAGAGCUUGACUAGGCCAAAUAUUGAAGUUAAGUUUUCAAAUAAUGGAACUUUUUAAGAUGCCUUUUAAAGGGGAGGGGCAAGUUUUGGCAAUUAGUUGGCAGUGGCCUGUUUUGGUUGGGGUUGGGUGGGUUGGGUUUAGGUAAUUGUUUAGUUUAUGAUUUCAGAUAACUCAUGCCAGAGAACUUAAAUACUUAGGAUGGAAAAACUAAAGAAAUCUCACCUCCCAAGUUGGAGCUUCAGAGCAAAGGAAGUGGCUUAAUGAUCCUGAAGGGAUUUCUUCUGAUGGUAGCUUUUAUAUUAUCAAACUUUUUUCAGAUAACAUCUUCUGAGUCAUACCCAGCCUGGCAAUAUGAUGGCCUAGAUGGAGAGGGGAACAGCUCCUUGGUGAAUGAUAAACAGGUUUCUCUAUCAGAAGAGUUGCUUCAUAUCAUCUGGGAGCAGAAAACAGCAGGCAGCUGUUCACAGAUAAGUUUAACUUGCAUCUGCAGUAUUGCAUGUUAG